GACGUAGGGCGCAAGCGUUGUCCGGAUUUAUUGGGCGUAAAGAGCUCGUAGGCGGUGUGUCGCGUCGGCCGUGAAAACCUGCAGCUUAACUGUGGGCGUGCGGUCGAUACGGGCAUCACUGGAGUUCGGCAGGGGAGACUGGAAUUCCUGGUGUAGCGGUGAAAUGCGCAGAUAUCAGGAGGAACACCGGUGGCGAAGGCGGGUCUCUGGGCCGAUACUGACGCUGAGGAGCGAAAGCGUGGGGAGCGAACAGG
Molecule: ribosomal RNA, 254 nt
Filed under: uncultured bacterium
Lineage: Bacteria
Description: partial 16S ribosomal RNA
Rfam family: Bacterial small subunit ribosomal RNA
Source: RNAcentral